RNAcentral lists this ribosomal RNA (385 nucleotides) under uncultured Cryptomonadales. RNAcentral describes it as "partial small subunit ribosomal RNA". It matches the Rfam family "Eukaryotic small subunit ribosomal RNA", at positions 30 to 432 of the family's 1831-position model. The record is from RNAcentral. Lineage: Eukaryota; Cryptophyceae; Cryptomonadales.
GCUUGUCUCAAAGAUUAAGCCAUGCAUGUCUUAGUGUAAAUAACUCUUAUGAAACUGCGAAUGGCUCAUUAAAUCAGUUAUCAAAUACGUGAUGGUCGCCUACUACAUGGAUAACCGUAGUAAUUCUAGAGCUAAUACAUGCACAAAGGCCCACGCAAGUGGGUUGUGAUUAUUAGAUUCAAACCGGCCUCGUUCUGGUGAUUCAUAAUAAUUGGUCGAACCGCAUGCCCUUGUGGUGGCGGUGAUUCAUCCUUAUUUCUGCCCUAUCAUGCUCUCGAUGGUAGUGUAUUGGACUACCAUGGCUCUCACGGGUAACGGGGAAUUAGGGUUCGAUUCCGGAGAAGGAGCCUGAGAAACGGCUACUACAUCUAAGGAAGGCAGCAGG